Molecule: long non-coding RNA, 1092 nt
Filed under: Homo sapiens (human)
Lineage: Eukaryota; Metazoa; Chordata; Mammalia; Primates; Hominidae
Description: CNIH3 antisense RNA 1, transcript variant 1 (CNIH3-AS1)
Source: RNAcentral
AGUCCCAGUCUGACUUACCUCCAGAAGUGAUAGAAAAGUAGAGGGACAUUCAGCCCCAGCGUGAGCCACUCUUGCGCACACAGGAACAUAAUGCAGAAGAGGCUAUGGAUGGAGUAUUCUGGCAGCACCAGCUGAAGAGGGAGCAGAGACACGGCCCUGAGUUAGAGGAGGAAAACGCCACUCCUGCUUCUAUGGCAGCUGACUUCUGCCUGGACACUGCCUCUCACAGACGGUUGACACAAAGGCCCUCCCUGCAGCAACGUAGAGCCACUGCCCCAACACAGAUCCAUUUCUGAUACGCAUCAAGAGCCUACUAUGAGGUGUCAAACACUGUGGCAGGCACUGGAGGUGCCAGGAUGAGUUCAAUGAGCCUGGUGACAAUGUUCCAGGCACCCCCAGGCUGAUGGGAGAGACCGACAGCUGAACACUGGACCAUGCCGCAGCCAGCACUCACACACUGACUGAAGCUCUAGCGCUGGCUGGUCCCUUACAGGUGAGUACAGUUGGUCACAAAGGGUGUGGACAAAGAAGAAUCCAUGGAAAUUCAAACUCAACUCAACUCUCCAGGCUUUGAGCACCCAAUGCCCUGGAUUAAAUAUGGCAGGAGGCCCAGCAAAGACCUUACAAUAGAUCGGGAGAGAUAAACCGAAAACCUAAGUGACUAUAUAAUCCAAGGCUGAAUAUAGGGAGAAGCAAAAUAGAAGGAUAAGCAUAAUAGGGUCAAAGGAGGAGGGAGGCAGAUCAGCCAACACUAGCCCUUGCUGGGAUACACACUGCUAUGGACUGAAUGUUUGUGCCCUUCCCUAAAUUCAUAUAUUGAAGUCCUAAUCCCCAUUGUGAUGGCAUUAGGAGGUGGUGUCUUUGGGAGGUAAUUAGGUCAUCAGAGUGGAGCCCUCAUGAAUGGGAUUAGUGCCCUCAUAAGGAAAGACACUAAGGAGCAAGCUUCUCUUCUCUGCCAUGUGAGGAUACAGUGAGAAGGUGGCCAUCUGCAGAUCAGGAAGAGGGCCCUCAUCAGAACCCAGUCAUGCUGGCACCCUGAUCUUGAGGUUUUAACCUCCAGAACUGUGAGAAUAAAUUUCUGUUAAGCCACCA